GAUGAAGAACGUAGCGAAAUGCGAUAAGUAAUGUGAAUUGCAGAAUUCAGUGAAUCAUCGAAUCUUUGAACGCACAUUGCGCCCCUUGGUAUUCCGAGGGGCAUGCCUGUUCGAGCGUCAUUUCAACCCUCAAGCACAGCUUGGUCUUGGGCUUCGCCGCUAACCCGGCGGGUCUUAAAAUCAGUGGCGGUGCCGUCGGGCCCUGAGCGCAAUAAUCUCUCUCGCUAUAGGGUCCCGGCGGAUGCUGGCCAGUAACCCCCAAUUUUCUAUGGUUGACCUCGGAUCAGGUAGGGAUACCCGCUGAACUUAAGCAUAUCAAUAAGCGGAGGA
RNAcentral lists this unclassified non-coding RNA (330 nucleotides) under soil metagenome. Its description in RNAcentral is "partial contains 5.8S ribosomal RNA, internal transcribed spacer 2, and large subunit ribosomal RNA". The stretch from base 1 to 120 matches the Rfam family "5.8S ribosomal RNA", at positions 35 to 154 of the family's 154-position model. The record is from RNAcentral.